Molecule: ribosomal RNA, 424 nt
Filed under: uncultured bacterium
Lineage: Bacteria
Description: bacterial SSU rRNA
Rfam family: Bacterial small subunit ribosomal RNA
Source: RNAcentral
GGAAUUUUUGUCAAUGGGGGCAACCCUGAACAAGCAACGCCGCGUGAAGGACGAAGACCUUCGGGUUGUAAACUUCUGUCGGAGGGGACGAAUGCGGUUGCGGCGAAUACCCGCGAUCGUUGACGGUACCCUACGAGGAAGCCCCGGCCAACUCCGUGCCAGCAGCCGCGGUAAUACGGGGGGGGCGGGCGUUGUUCGGAAUUACUGGGCGUAAAGGGCGCGCAGGCGGGCGGGCAAGUCUUUCGUGAAAGCCCACGGCUCAACCGUGGAAUUGCGGGAGAUACUGCUCGUCUUGAGUCCGGGAGAGGAGAGUGGAAUUCCCAGUGUAGCGGUGAAAUGCGUAGAUAUUGGGAGGAACACCGGUGGCGAAGGCGGCUCUCUGGACCGGUACUGACGCUGAGGCGCGAAAGCUAGGGGAGCAAAC